ACCCGGCUGGCGCAAUGGUAGCGCGUCAGACUUCUACGCGGAGAUAAUCUGAAGGUUGUGGGUUCGACCCCCACGUUGGGUU
This is a non-coding RNA of Choiromyces venosus 120613-1, 82 nucleotides long. Lineage: Eukaryota; Fungi; Ascomycota; Pezizomycetes; Pezizales; Tuberaceae. The record is from the annotation of a GenBank genome assembly.